CCGAAGUACUUUAGAGUGGACUU
RNAcentral lists this non-coding RNA (23 nucleotides) under Arabidopsis thaliana (thale cress). Lineage: Eukaryota; Viridiplantae; Streptophyta; Magnoliopsida; Brassicales; Brassicaceae. The record is from RNAcentral.